RNAcentral lists this ribosomal RNA (368 nucleotides) under uncultured organism. RNAcentral describes it as "bacterial SSU rRNA". It matches the Rfam family "Bacterial small subunit ribosomal RNA", at positions 526 to 896 of the family's 1533-position model. The record is from RNAcentral.
CGGAGGGUGCAAGCGUUAUCCGGAUUCACUGGGUUUAAAGGGUGCGUAGGCGGGUUGGUAAGUCAGUGGUGAAAUCCCCGGGCUUAACUUGGGAACUGCCAUUGAUACUAUCAGUCUUGAAUAUCGUGGAGGUUAGCGGAAUAUGUCAUGUAGCGGUGAAAUGCUUGGAUAUGACAUAGAACACCAAUUGCGAAGGCAGCUGGCUACACGAAUAUUGACACUGAGGCACGAAAGCGUGGGGAUCAAACAGGAUUAGAUACCCUGGUAGUCCACGCCCUAAACUAUGGAUACUCGACAUCAGCGAUACACUGUUGGUGUCCGAGCGAAAGCAUUAAGUAUCCCACCUGGGAAGUACGAUCGCAAGAUUG